RNAcentral lists this ribosomal RNA (116 nucleotides) under Saimiri boliviensis boliviensis (Bolivian squirrel monkey). The record is from RNAcentral. Lineage: Eukaryota; Metazoa; Chordata; Mammalia; Primates; Cebidae.
AUCUAUGGCCGUACCACCCUGAACGCACCUGAUCUGGUCUGAUCUCGGAAGCUCAGCAGGGUUGGGCCUGGUGAGUAUUUGGAUGGCAGACAAUGUGUAAGUCCACAGUAUUGGUA